UGCCUCAGUAGCUCAGCCUGGGAGAGCGCCAGACUGAAGAUCUGGUUGUCGCCUGUUCAAAUCAGGCCUGGGGCAU
This 76-nucleotide transfer RNA is filed under the name Methanoregula sp. PtaU1.Bin051. Its description in RNAcentral is "tRNA-Phe". It matches the Rfam family "tRNA". From Rfam's summary of the family: Transfer RNA (tRNA) molecules are approximately 80 nucleotides in length. The record is from RNAcentral. Lineage: Archaea; Methanobacteriati; Methanobacteriota; Methanomicrobia; Methanomicrobiales; Methanoregulaceae.